GUGAGUCAUCGAGUCUUUGAACGCAUAUUGCGCCCUCUGGUAUUCCGGAGGGCAUGCCUGUUUGAGCGUCAUUUCCUUCUCAUAUCCCUAGGAUGUGGUGAUGAACGACACUUUCGCAAGAAAAGUCCGUUUGAAAUGAAUUGGCACGAGUCUUUCGACAGAUAGAUGCUAUGUUUUCAAUGUAUUAGGUUUACACCAUCGUUGAUUGUAGUAUUGGACUGUUGGAGUUAUGGGCUUUGCCUUACAAACUUUACCUUAAAGUUUGACCUCAAAUCAGGUAGGAUUACCCGCUGAACUUAA
Molecule: ribosomal RNA, 300 nt
Filed under: uncultured fungus
Lineage: Eukaryota; Fungi
Description: eukaryotic LSU rRNA
Rfam family: 5.8S ribosomal RNA (bases 1-71)
Source: RNAcentral